UACGGGGGGGGCAAGCGUUGUUCGGAAUUACUGGGCGUAAAGGGCGCGUAGGUGGCCUUCUUAGUCAGACGUGAAAUCCCUGGGCUUAACUCAGGAACUGCGUCUGAUGCUGGAAGGCUCGAGUUCGGGAGAGGAAUGUGGAAUUCCAGGUGUAGCGGUGAAAUGCGUAGAUAUCUGGAGGAACACCGGUGGCGAAGGCGGCAUUCUGGACCGAAACUGACACUGAGGCGCGAAAGCCAGGGGAGCAAACGGG
Molecule: ribosomal RNA, 253 nt
Filed under: uncultured bacterium
Lineage: Bacteria
Description: partial 16S ribosomal RNA
Rfam family: Bacterial small subunit ribosomal RNA
Source: RNAcentral